GGGGGGGGGGGGCGGGGGGCCGGGCGCGUGCGGGGCGGGCGGAUGGGGGGCGCUUGCUCCUGGCUUCAGCGGCGGACGGGUGAGUAAUGCCUAGGCAUCUGCCUGGUCGUGGGGGCUAACGUCCGGAAACGGGCGCUAAUACCGCAUACGUCCUGAGGGAGCAAGUGGGGGAUCUUCGGACCUCACGCUAUCAGAUGACCCUAGGUCGGAUUAGCUAGUUGGUGGGGUCAACGCCUACCCAGGCGACGAUCCGUACCUGGUCUGAGAGGAUAUCAGUCACACUGGAACUGAGAAACGGUCCAGACUCCUACGGGAGGCAGCAGUGGGGAAUAUUGGACAAUGGGCGAAAGCCUGAUCCAGCCAUGCCGCGUGUGUGAAGAAGGUCUUCGGAUUGUAAAGCACUUUAAGUUGGGAGGAAGGGCAGUAAGUUAAUACCUUGCUGUUUUGACGUUACCAACAGAAUAAGCACCGGCUAACUUCGUG
RNAcentral lists this ribosomal RNA (483 nucleotides) under uncultured bacterium. Its description in RNAcentral is "partial 16S ribosomal RNA". It matches the Rfam family "Bacterial small subunit ribosomal RNA", at positions 38 to 507 of the family's 1533-position model. The record is from RNAcentral.